AUCUUAACCAUUAUAUAUUUAUAUUAUGUUUAAGGCUAUAGAUUCCAUUCAUUUUACGUCACUAAAAUACACCAACAUAUACAUAUAUGCAAAAAAUAUAUCAAUAUAUCCAACAUAUACAAAAAACACUGAAAACACAACAAUAAGAAAAAAACCUAGUUAAAAAGUGGGCAAAAUCUGGACACAUCACUAAAGAUACACAAAGGGCAAAUAAGCAGAUGAAAAGAUGCUCAAUAUCAUAGAUCAUCAAGGAAUUACAACAUGGAUGCAGCCGGAGGCCAUUAUCCUAAGCAAAUUAACACAGGAACAGAAAACUAACUACUGCAUGUUUUCACUUAUAAGUGGGAGCUAAACACUGGGUACUUAGGGACAUAAAGAUGGCAACAACUGACACUGGGGACUACUGGCGGGUAGUAGAUGAGGGAAGGGUUGAAAAACCAUUAGGUACUAUGCUCAGUACCUGGGUGAUGGGAGCAAUCAUACCUCAAACCUCAGUAUCACACAAUAUACCCAGGUAAAGACCUGCACAUGUACCCCCUGAAUCUAAAAUAAAAGUUGAAAUUAUUUAAAAAGGAAUCGCAAAUUAAAACAACAAUGAGAUACCUCUAUACAACUAUUAGCAUGACUAAACUCCAGAAAACUGACAGUGCUGUACGCUGGCAAGGAUGCAAAGCAACCAAAACUCUUUCAUUACUAGUGGGAAUGCAAAAUGGUGCAGUCACAUGGGAAGACAAUUUGGCAGUUUCUUAAAAACUGAAUAUGCUAUAUAAUCCAGCAGUCAUGCCCCCAGGUAUUUGCCCAAUUGAAUUGAAAACUUAUGUCCACACAAAAACCUGAACAUGACUAUUUAUAGAAGCUUUAUUCGUAUCAUCAAAAACCAGAUGCAACCAACAUAUCCAAUAGGUAAAUGGAUAAACAAACUAUGGUACACGUAUACAUUGGAAUAUUAUUUAGCAAUAAAAAGGUAUUGAGCUGUGAAGCCACAAAAAGACAAGGGGAACCUUAAGUACAUAUUGCUAAGUGAAAGAAACCAGUCUGAAAAAGCCACAUACUGUAUGAUUCCAGCCAUAUGACAUUCUGGCAAAGGCAAAACUUUAGAGAUAGUAAGAUCAGUGGUUGCAAGGGCCUUGAGGAGAGGAGAAAAAGGAUGAAAUGACAAUGAAUGAACUUAUUUACAUAAUAGUGAACAUCAUUGUGACUUCAUUAAAUGACGAACGGAUGAGUUAACUAAACUGUGAGUAAAUCUAUCUCAUCUUUCUAAAUUCCAGGCAUUCAUAUUUGAGAAGGUUAUGGAAGCCAAGGUUCUUGUUAUGUAGAUGAAGCCUCUAGGUAGUAUUCUUCAGAGAGAAUAGAUGGUCAAUGUCUCUUUUCAGAUUUUAAAUAGAGUCCAACUCAGUUAAAUCUCCUCUAGACCUGGCAAAGACCUAGAAAGGGAAAGAGAUUCUAAAGAUGCAAAA
RNAcentral lists this long non-coding RNA (1457 nucleotides) under Homo sapiens (human). RNAcentral's name for it is "non-protein coding lnc-ANKRD30B-2:4". Lineage: Eukaryota; Metazoa; Chordata; Mammalia; Primates; Hominidae. The record is from RNAcentral.